This 526-nucleotide long non-coding RNA is filed under the name Triticum aestivum (bread wheat). RNAcentral describes it as "long non-coding RNA (TAES_LNC026209)". Lineage: Eukaryota; Viridiplantae; Streptophyta; Magnoliopsida; Poales; Poaceae. The record is from RNAcentral.
CCCACUGGCUUGUAUGUCCAUCCUGCAUUUUGCCAGUUGUAUCCUUCAUUUGUUAUCUGUUUGGAUGAACAAUUGAACAUGUUAUACAUAGUAGCUUGAUGGUGUGCCAAUACGGUCAGGCUCUAGAAGUCGCGCGGCUGCCGCCUGCCGCCUGCCGGUCUGCCCUAUUGUAAGUUUGCACCACCAUUGGAGCUGAAAUAUCAGUAGACCGGUAUUGUAUCUGCAUGUUGUUUCCUGAUCACCGCAGUUGCCGGACGGUGAAUAGUUUGUAAUGACAGCAAAAAACAGUGUGGAAAAUCUUGAUUUGAUGUGAACUUUAUUUCAUUCAUCAGCAUCUUUCUACAUGUUUCAUUCGGUAUUUCAGCAGAAGAUAGUGUCGUACACAAUCCAUUUAUACAACAAAAUGAAAAGCUAUAAUACAAUGCUCUGAACUUCAGUUACAAGGUGUAGUUUACUGCAGUAUGCAAAAUGUGAAAGUACAUAAAUUCCAGUCCAGCUUCAGCUUCGUGUAUCAACCCCUGACCCA